AUGUUAUUUUGUGGAAUAGGUCUGAGCAGUACUGGAGAAGUGGAACUUGGGAUGAUAAUGCAAAAAUUUUCAGCUUGGUCCCUGAAAUGACACUAAAUUAUAUCUACAAUUUCAGCUAUGUGUCGAAUGAAAACGAGAGCUAUUUCACCUACAAUGUGAAAGAUAGCACUUACACAUCUCGAUUCAUUAUGGAUUUUUCAGGACAGGUUAAGCAGAUGAAUUGGUUGCCUACCAACUCUUGGUUUCUGUUUUGGUCCCAACCAAGACAGCAAUGCGAGGUUUAUGCUUUUUGUGGUCAAUUUAGCACCUGCAAUGAGCAAACUGAGCGUUUUUGUUCUUGUUUGAAAGGUUUUCAACAAAAAUCGGUGAGUGACUGGAAUUUGGAAGAUUAUUCUGGUGGUUGUGUGAGGAAAACCCCGCUGCAGUGUGAAAAUAAUAGUCUUGCCAAUGGAAAAAGCGACCAAUUUUUGCAGUACAUUAACAUGAAUUUGCCUAAACAUCCACAAUCUGUGGCAGUAGGGGGUAUCAGGGAAUGUGAAACACACUGCUUGAAUAACUGCUCUUGCACUGCUUAUGCUUACAAAGACAACGCUUGCUCGAUUUGGGUAGGAAGUUUCGUGGGUCUGCAACAGCUACAAGGAGGUGGAGAUACCAUUUAUAUCAAGCUUGCCGCUUCUGAGUUCGAGAGUCCCAAGAAUAACAAGGGAGUAGUCAUUGGCAGUGUUGUGGGCUCAGUGGCUGUCGUAGCUCUUAUUGGCCUGAUCAUGCUUGUACACUUGAGAAGGAGAAAGACAGCAACUGUAACAACCAAAACUGUGGAGGGUUCUUUGGUGGCAUUUGCAUACAAGGAUUUGCAAACUGCCACAAAGAAUUUCUCUAAAAAGCUGGGGGGAGGAGGUUUUGGUUCAGUUUUCAAAGGGGUGUUGCCGAAUUCAAGUCUUAUAGCUGUGAAGAAGCUUGAAAGCUGGAGCCAAGGAGAGAAGCAAUUUCGGACUGAAGUCAGUACCAUAGGGAAUAUCCAACAUGUCAAUCUGGUUCGGCUUCUGGGUUUCUGCUCUGAAGGUACUAGUAGGUUGUUGGUCUACGAUUUCAUGCCAAACGGUUCUUUAGACUCUCAUCUCUUCACUGAAAAAGAUUCAGACUUUCUUGAUUGGAAGACAAGAUACCAAAUUGCACUGGGGACAGCCAGAGGUUUGGCUUAUCUUCAUGAGAAGUGCAGAGACUGCAUCAUACACUGUGACAUAAAGCCAGAGAACAUUCUGUUAGACGCUGAAUUUUGUCCCAAAGUGUCGGAUUUUGGGCUGGCAAAGCUUGUUGGGAGGGAGUUCAGCCGUGUCCUAACAACCAUGAGAGGAACAAGAGGUUACCUUGCACCUGAAUGGAUUUCAGGAGUGGCCAUAACAGCCAAAGCGGAUGUCUACAGCUAUGGAAUGAUGCUGUAUGAAUUUGUAUCAGGAAGGAGGAACUCCCAGGAAUCUGAAGAUGGUAAAGUGAAGUUCUUCCCAUCUUGGGCUGCUAAACAAAUAGUUGAAGGCAGCAAUCUCAUUAGCCUAUUAGACCCAAGACUGGAGGGCAACGCUGACGAAGAAGAGCUUGCAAGACUUUGCAAUGUGGCUUGUUGGUGCAUCCAAGAUGAUGAGACUCACAGGCCAUCAAUGGGUCAAGUAGUUCAAAUUCUUGAGGGAGUUUUGGACGUGACACUGCCUCCAAUUCCCAGAGCUCUCCAAGUAAUGGUCGAUGACCAUGAGCACGUAGUCUUCUUCACUGAAUCAUCCACAUCUCAGAGUUCCCUGUCAAAGAGCAACAAUUCAACUGCUUCAUCUCAAGCAAAGAGUACCACAUCAUCAAGAAGUUCUUAAAUCGAUGUGAAGAAAAUAUUUUAACAUUUGUGUUUAAGAAUAUAUAUUUGGUUUAUUUCACUUGUAACAACCUGUAUGCAUAUUUGGAUAGAAGCCUUGCUUCGUAGUGUAUAAUAAUAAUGCCCCCUGCCAAAGCAAUUUUAAGAAUCACAAGCCUUGUGCCUCGCUGUUCUCUCUAAUGAACUCUGAUUGAUCUAUGCUCCUCUGCAUUGACUAUUGGCUUCACCUAAUCGCUUCAAUUGGCAAAAUUAGGUAUUGAAAUGAAAGCGACUUGGAACUUGGAAGUUAUCCAGAAGAAGGGGAAAAACAGCAAAAACAAUCAAACAAACAAACAUAAACGUGACGUAGUAACAAAUAACAUGGGUCAAGAUAUAAAUCAACUGGCCAACAUUGUUCAAUAAACUUUUUCCAACAUCUAAACUUUUUCAACCGAACCUGAAUUUUCUUGAGAGUUUUUUUGAGGCAUCAUGAUUGGUAAGGAGCUUGAAGGCAAAGUUCAACAGUUUCAUGACAAAGUUACAACCAUCGAUGAAAAGGUUACGACCUUAGCCAAGCAAAAUAACGAUUUGCAGAAACUCAUGAAACAUCCUUCAGCAAUUGAGCCAGUUGCGAAAAGAAAAACAACCGACUACUGAUCAAAGACAAGUUGAUAUAUUUACUGGAGGGACCUCUGCUCCUCAAAUGGUAAUUGCUACCCAACCACCUCUUGAACCUGCCGAACGCAUUGGAAGUACUCUCAUGCAAGCUCGUAACAUAUGACUUGACUUUCUUAUUUUUCAUGGUGCCAAUCAAACGGGAUGGAUUUUUCGAUAUGAGCAAUAUCGUCGCCUUACUGGAUUAUCAGAUGCUGACUUAUUGUCCUUAGCUAUUGGCCAUCUUGAUGGUGAUACUGUACCUUGGUUUAAUUGGAUAGAGCAAACUAUGGGCGCAAUUUAAACGGGCUUUGACUACUCAAUUUGGGACAUUAGAAGAGAAUGAUGCAGUUGGCAGUCUUACCAAACUACGUCAAAUAGGGACCGUUCUUGACUAUCAACGACAAUUUGAAAAGUUGGCUAAUCAGACUAGAAAUUUAACUGAGUCUUUCUUUAUCAGUUGUUUCCUCUCUGGGUUGCGUGAAGAUAUCAAGGCUGGCGUACAACUGUUCAAACCUGUUAGUCUUGUACAAACUUUUGAACUUGCUAGGUUUAGUAAAAGACAAUUACUUUGCAAGGCAACUGUUCCCCUGUUCCUGCCAUCCAAGAUCUAGUCCCACAAUUACAGCCGACUCCUACUCCACCAACACCCUCUUUAUUAGGACUGAUUUCCUCUACCUUACCUAAUAAUGUCAAACGUUUAUCCUCAGCUGAGCAGACAGAAAGACGUUCUGAAGGGCUCUGUUUCAACUCUGAUGAGCAAUUCAAGCCUGAACAUCGUUGCAAACAAUCUCAACUAUUGCUUUUAGACGCUGCUAUACCUCUUCACAACCCUCCAAAACCGCCUGACCAUCAUUCGGAUUGGAAGAUCUCGAUUAUUGAGACUGGGUAAAAGGCUUUCAGACAAGCCUGUUUGAAGGGGCAGGGAAUGUUAGGACCCUAAUAAUUUAUUUUAUUACUUGUUUUAAUUUUUUUUCCUAUUAAUACUAGGUUUUCUUAUUUCAAUUAUGAAUUAAUGCUCUUAUUAAAUUACAAUUAGAACCGUCUUGAACUACUAUAAAUAAGUGGUUCUUAUUAUAUUUUUGAAGGAGCAACAAUAAAAUUAAUUCUAAUCUCAGUUAAUUCUUCUCUCUUCCCUCUGAAUUCUUAAAUUCUUCAUUUAUUUCUCCCUUAAUUCUCUAACCAAAACCUCAUAAUCCUACCAGUAACGGACUGCAUUACGUUCGAGAAGACGAUUUACACACACACAAGAUAAUAAAGGCAUUUAAAUCACCUAAUUAAGUUGUAUAGGGAUAAAUAAUUAAAUUACAAAAAGCUCGACAUAUACUGAAAAAUAAAAAAGAAAUUGAACAAAGUCAUAAAUUUAUUGACAUCUAAAUUCUGAAAAUUGGUGUGUGUCUUCAGUAGGGAAAGUUAUCAUUUACAUACGGUUAUUUUUAUUGAUAUUUAAUACCUCUAUUUUAUGUUCAAUUGGAAGGAAUUCUAGGCUGUUCAGUUUUCUACUUACGGUAUUAUCACGAUCGUUGUUAUUGAGAAAAUUGUGGCAAUUUUUUUGAUUGAUAAUGAUGAUUUUAGUACGUGGCAGGCUCGGUGAUGCUGUUAUUUCGCGGAGCAUUUGGAUGCCCGCUCUAUACUGGUGAUUUUCGCUGGGAAGCAAGUAAUCAGAGGGCCGAGAUAGGAAGGAACACGCUCGUCAAAGCUUUAAAAGAUGAUGUAGUCGACAUUCUUUAUUUGGAUAACACAUAUUGCAGUCCAUCAUAUGCUUUCUUGUUUGAGAACUUUAUAUAUCCAAACUGAUAUAUGAUAGCAGGUACACUUUUUAUAUUUUUCCUUUCUUGUUUGAGAACUUUCAGUUUCACUCCAGAAUUAUCUACUGAAUUAAAGAUUAAAAUGGGAGAUGAAAGAAAUAGUCCAGGUACUGAUUUGUAGUGUUAGUUAUCUGGAUGAAAACAGAUUGUUGACAUAAUUGCCUCCCAUCCAGAUCAUGACAUCAUCAUUGGGAUUGACUCACUUGGAAAAGAAAAACUUUUAUUUCACAUAUCGCAUAAGCUCAAUAUAAAGGUUUGCUCACCCUUUUAAUAUCGGAAAACCUUUUCUUACAUAACGAUCAUCACGAUGGUCUCUCCAAGGGGGAUGAAAUCGAUAGCAUAUAUACAGCAAAUUGACAUGUUAUCUAAUUUUUGGAUCACUUGUAGAUGAUUUAGAAGGAUUUUGAUAGUUUUUAUUCUUCUAACAUCUAAAAUAUGUUUUACUUUUUAGAAACUGGGCGGGUUAGAUUGUCAUUUGGUGGAUUUAAUUGUGGCCAAAUUCAUACAUGAAAUGUAUUGUCACACAUGUAUUAUUGGAUGCAUCCAAUUGUAUGUUCUUCCUCUUCAUGUGCCAUGAGAACUUAAAACUGCCCUCUUCAUCUCUUGCAAAAUGUUGUUUAGUCACAAGCAAGUGGAAUAAAAUUUUUGCAUUCAUUUCCAAAGCAGAUAUUUACUCUGUGUUUCUUGUUUCACAUUUCUUUUUUUUUUUAUAGAUUUGGGUGUGGCCAGAACGCCUGCAAACCAUGCAUCUGCUUGGCUUCCAUGACACAUUCACAACCAAAACUUCUCUUGCUAGAGUGCGAGCUGUUCCACGGUAUAGUUUUAGCAUUGAUACUUUAGAGAAUUUAAAUACAAUGCACCAAACCAUUGGAAUUAUGCCAUCUGGUCUUCCUUGGGUGGUUAAGCCUCUUAAAGGAGGUCCUGGUUCUCUUUUUGCUUCUUACCAAAGCAAAUGGAGAGCAACGGGUUGAACUCAGACUGAGAAACUAAAAGAAGCUUUGGGAUCAGUGGACAGGUUUCGUAAGUACAUAUAUUCAGUUCCAUAUUCUGAUCAGUCCUGCUUUGCAGGGAUAGAGGAAUUUUUAAACCGUGCCCAGCCAUCGAAUAUCAGAGGCAUCGUGUCUUCAUCGUCCUGUUAUGUUGACCCUCUUUACUACUUUGGCCACCUUUGCAGAGCAAAUCAACCAUCACUGAGGUAUAAGCAGCAACAGAGAGUGCAGCACAAAACAGUUGUAGCCGCCCAAAUGAAAUUCAUUGUUGAAAGUGGUAGAUCCACUAAGGUAGAUAGGAAACGAAGGACUGCGGAAGUAGGUAUUUUAGGAGUUCGCAUGAGUAAGGUGGAUGCCCUUAGGCGGGCCCGACGAGGUGCGAAGCUUGCUCGAAGUGAGAGUUCUGAUUAAUUAGUGUCAAAUAUCAAUAUCAGGUAAGCUUGAAAUUCUUGCGAGUAAUGUUGCCUGUAUCAGUUUGAAUUCAGAGUCUAUUGUAUGGUUGAAGAAUACAUAUGGUGGUGUAGGGUGUAAGAAAAAUAAUCUUUUAUUUAUUUAUUUAUUUAUCUUGGAUGUCUAAAGCGACGGCCUAUUAGUGCUCAUUAAAGAAAAUGGUUGUGCGAAAGCACUUCGUCUGGAUCAAUCAUUUGAUUGUUUACGCGGGAUAGUUAUAGCGACUUUUCAAACUCGUGGCCUUUAAACACAUUAUAGUUUGCAAUCGUGGUCUUUACUCUUUACUUGAUUUGCAAUGAGGUAAAGAAGUCAAAUGACGGACCAAGAUAUUAGUUGAAGAAGCCAUACUACGGAUACGUCGCACGAGGUAUAUGUAAUCCCACGACACCUGGCAAGCGGACCGAAUCCAUGCGACUAUAGUAGCAGAGUCCGAUUCUACCUGCAAUAUAGAAUGGCCGAGGUGAGCUGCAAGCUCUAAGCUCUCAUGAACAGCCAUAAGCUCUAUGUAAAGGAUCGGACGAUAACCUAGGAAUGAUCCAAAAGUGCCUAAGAGCUCUCCCCAAGAGUCACGUAAAAUGCCCCCUGAAGCAGCCAUCCCUGGGUUUCCCCUAGAGCACCCAUCCACUGUCAACUUCACCACCCCCGGAGGUGGUCGAAUCCGAGAAAUCAGCCGAAGUGGUCUCCUAUGCCGUGUAACAACACGCCAUCCGUCCACUAAUCUACUAUCCAGGACGCCGCGCAGUUGGGAUGUUUUAAAACCGAAAGCAAAGCUGGCCAGCUUAAGAUCUGAAACUACUCGAAAAAUGACCGCAUCUACAAAAAAUGCCAUUGAAUCAAAUCUGUAAGCAUUUCGGGCCUUCCACACGUGCCAGAGGAUGAAACAAGGAAGUAGAACUCAAAUAUGGUUUCGGGAAGGAGCACAGCGCCUCCAGUGGCGAAGCAGCGCAUGAGGGGAGCGUUAUCUUUACUUGAUUUGCAAUAAGGUAAAGAAGUCAAUUGGGUAAUUUUUUUCUGUGAGAGUGAAUUGCGGCAAACGUGAGCAAAUUUUGCAUCAUUGUGCAUUUUGUUGUAGAAUGAGGAGAGUCAAUUUUCCUGACUAUCUAGACGAGUCUUUAGUUGAAUCUCUCCAUGGCCAUAAGUGGCCGGCAUAGACCAAAUCCUGAAACUGGUCAUAGUCCAAUAUGCAGACCACUCUGACUAUGGUCAAGACACUGGAAAAUGGUGAACGUUAGCUAAGUUUUGAAAGUUACCAAAAUUUAAUAAUAUCAUGUUUCUGAUUUCUAAUCAUGUUUUUUAUUUUGAAGAUUUCAGUUUUGACAAUUUGACUAAAUAAAUAUGCGGGUUAAAAUUUUCAUGAUCUAAAAAAAUGUAACGAGAACUAAUAAAAUUUAUUAUUUUAUUACGGUUUAUAUCAUUUGAAAUGUUGAUUCAAUAUAAAUGAUAUGUCCGGCCUUGUGGUGGCUGGUGGGUGCAAUUUGAGAUGGUAAAAUUUUUUUAUUUUGAAGACAAGAUGUGAAUCCCAUUUAAUAUUAUUAUUAAAUUAAGCAGUAUAAAGAAGUUAAGCAACCCAAAACCAUAAAGAAGUCAAACAGGCUAGAAGCCGUAAAGAAGUCUAGAAGCCAUAAAGAAACCGAAUAUCAUAAACUAAAGAAAAGAUAAAAUAUAGAGUAAUAACAGCAGCAAAAAAACAGAGAACAGUAGCGCCACAACAGAUCUAAUACUUGUCCGUUUGUAAUCAUAUGUUUGCUGUUGUUCUUUGUUUAUUGCAGCUGCUAUUACUCUCAUUUUAGCUUUUCCUUAGCUUAUGAUCUUCGGUUUCUAUAUGGCUUCUUGGCUGCUUAACUUCUUUACGGCUUCCAGGCCGCUUGACCUCUUAACGUCUCCUAAGUGUUUGACUUCUUUAUGGUUUACCCCAAAAUGACCGAAGUGUUCCACAUUUAUGUAUUUUAAAGAGGUGCAACCUCAAGAUUGUAAUUUGUAAAGGGCAUAAUUGUCAGUUCAAUUAGCUUAGUUGACUUGGGGAAGGACUAUAACAUCGUUCUUCUUCUCUAUGUCGGUCUGUCUAGCUGUUGUCUUUCUCUUAUGAGCAAUAAAACAAUACAUGAUAUGUAAAUUAUUUUUCACUCAAGUAUCUAUCUUGAUAGCACAGAAUUUGUUGUUGUUGCAGCAGCCAUGGCAAUCAUCAAGAACAAUUCAUGGUUGAUGCUUUUUGUUCUUUUUACGUGCUUUUCACUCAAAUCCCAUGUCUCCUUCGGAGCUGACACCGUUUCUGCAAACCAAUCUCUCUCUGGCGAUCAAACGAUCGUUCAAGGCGGAUGUACGGUACAGCAGUUCCUUCACGAGAAGUUGCAGCUCAGCAGGUUCUCUUCGGUUUUAAGAAUCUCAGAUGGUAACUUAGUUCUUUUUAAUGAGUCCCAACUACCCAUUUGGUCCACAAAUUUGACCGCUACCAGCAGACGUUCUGUGGAAGCAGUUCUUUUAGAUGAAGGAAAUCUUGUUUUGAGAGAUUUGUCAAAUAAUUUGUCAAAGCCUUUAUGGCAAAGUUUUGAUCAUCCAGCUCAUACUUGGAUUCCCGGUAUGAAGCUGACGUUCAACAAGAGAAACAACGUCAGUCAACUUAUCACUUCAUGGAAGAAUAAAGAAAAUCCUGCACCGGGUCUCUUCUCCCUUGAGCGAGCACCAGAUGGAUCAAAUCAAUAUGUUAUGUUGUGGAAUAGGUCUGAGCAGUACUGGUCAAGUGGACCUUGGGAUGAGAAUGCAAAAAUUUUCAGCAUGGUCCCUGAAAUGAAUCAAAACUAUAUCUACAAUUUCAGCUAUGUGUCGAAUGAAAACGAGAGCUAUUUCACCAACAAUGUGAAAGAUAGCACUUACACAUCUCGAUUCAUUAUGGAUGUUUCAGGACAGGUUAAGCAGAUGAAUUGGUUGCCUACCAACUCUUGGUUUCUGUUUUGGUCCCAACCAAGACAGCAAUGCGAGGUUUAUGCUCUUUGUGGUCAAUUUAGCACCUGCAAUCAGCAAACUGAGCGUUUUUGUUCUUGUUUGAAAGGUUUUCAACAAAAAUCGGUGAGUGACUGGAAUUUGGAAGAUUAUUCUGGUGGUUGUGUGAGGAAAACCCCGCUGCAGUGUGAAAAUAUUAGUCCUGCCAAUAGAAAAAGCGACCAAUUUUUCCAGUACAGUAACAUGAAAUUGCCUAAACAUCCACAAUCUGUGGCAGUAGGGGGUAUCAGGGAAUGUGAAACACACUGCUUGAAUAACUGCUCUUGCACUGCUUAUGCUUACAAAGACAACGCUUGCUCGAUUUGGGUAGGAAGUUUCGUGGGUCUGCAACAGCUACAAGGAGGUGGAGAUAUCAUUUAUAUCAAGCUUGCAGCUUCUGAGUUCGAGAGUCCCAAGAACAAGAAGGGAGUAGUCAUUGGCGGUGUUGUGGGCUCAGUGGCUGUCGUAGCUCUUAUUGGCCUGAUCAUGCUUGUAUACUUGGGAAGGAGAAAGACAGCAACUGUAACAACCAAAACUGUGGAGGGUUCUUUGGUGGCAUUUGCAUGCAAGGAUUUGCAAACUGCCACAAAGAAUUUCUCUAAAAAGCUGGGGGGAGGAGGUUUUGGUUCAGUUUUCAAAGGGGUGUUUCCGAAUUCAAGUCUCAUAGCUGUGAAGAAGCUUGAAAGCUUGAGCCAAGGAGAGAAGCAAUUUCGGACUGAAGUCAGAACCAUAGGGAAUAUCCAACAUGUCAAUCUGGUUCGGCUUCUGGGUUUCUGCUCUGAAGGUACUAGUAGGUUGUUGGUCUACGAUUUCAUGCCAAACGGUUCUUUAGACUCUCAUCUCUUCACUGAAAAAGAUUCAGACUUUCUUGAUUGGAAGACAAGAUACCAAAUUGCACUGGGGACAGCCAGAGGUUUGGCUUAUCUCCAUGAGAAGUGCAGAGACUGCAUCAUACACUGUGACAUAAAGCCAGAGAACAUUCUGUUAGACGCUGAAUUUUGUCCCAAAGUGUCGGAUUUUGGGCUGGCAAAGCUUGUUGGGAGGGAGUUCAGCCGUGUCCUAACAACCAUGAGAGGAACAAGAGGUUACCUUGCACCUGAAUGGAUUUCAGGAGUGGCCAUAACAGCCAAAGCGGAUGUCUACAGCUAUGGAAUGAUGCUGUAUGAAUUUGUAUCAGGAAGGAGGAACUCCCAGGAAUCUGAAGAUGGUAAAGUGAAGUUCUUCCCAUCUUGGGCUGCUAAACAAAUAGUUGAAGGCAGCAAUCUCAUUAGCCUAUUAGACCCAAGACUGGAGGGCAACGCUGACGAAGUAGAGCUUGCAAGACUUUGCAAAGUGGCUUGUUGGUGCAUCCAAGAUGAUGAGACUCACAGGCCAUCAAUGGGUCAAGUAGUUCAAAUUCUUGAGGGAGUUUUGGACGUGACACUGCCUCCAAUUCCCAGAGCUCUCCAAGUAAUGGUCGAUGACCAUGAGCACGUAGUCUUCUUCACUGAAUCAUCCACAUCUCAGAGUUCCCUGUCAAAGAGCAACAAUUCAACUGCUUCAUCUCAAGCAAAGAGUACCACAUCAUCAAGAAGUUCUUAAAUCGAUGUGAAGAAAAUAUUUUAACAUUUGUGUUUAAGAAUAUAUAUUUGGUUUAUUUCACUUGUAACAACCUGUAUGCAUAUUUGGAUAGAAGCCUUGCUUCGUAGUGUGUAUAAUAAUAAUGGAACCUGCCAAAGCAAUUUUAAGAAUUACAAGCCUUGUGCCUCGCUGUUCUCUCUAAUGAACUCUGAUUGAUCUAUGCUCCUCUGCAUUGACUAUUGGCUUCACCUAAUCGCUUCAAUUGGCAAAAUUAGGUAUUGAAAUAAAAGUGACUUGGAACUUGGAUGUUAUCCCGAAGAAGGGGAAAAACAGAAAAACAAUCAAACAAAUAAACAUAAACGUGACGUUGUAACAAAUAAUGUUUGGUAGUAUAUGAUAUGCAUACAUAAAUCGAAAACCAUAAAAUGUAAAAUAACUAGGUUAAGUGUGGUUAACUAAUCGAGACUUAAGUCUUAAUUUCUCUUAUAAAAACUUAAGUGUUGUAUCUAAGUCCGUCGUCAAUUUAAUACUUUUAAUAUAAGUUAUUAUUUAGAAAAGAAGGUGUGUUCAAUGAAUGACUUAUUUAUGAGUGCUAAUUAGAUUAAAAUUUAGAAUUUAGGAUAAAUUUACAGAAUCAUAAAUUAAUUUAUAAUAUUAUGAAAAUUAAUUUAUGACAUCAUAAAUUUGUCCCAAAUUUUGAAUUCAAACUUUAAUUUCAGAUUGAAAAAUUUUUCUCUAUCCAUAAAGUGUUUGGUUAAGGGGAAAAAAAUCAAAAGAAAAAAAAUCUAGGUGGGUGGUAUGACGUGGGGUUUACGUUUAAUGCGUAAAACAUGAUUUUAAUGUUUAUUUCUCACGAGGCAACAUUGAGAAUAUCGGAGUUGAGUUUAACACAAUUAAUCCUUAGCAAAUAUAUUAAAGCGAUUACACUUCCUGUCUCUCGUCUCAUGCAUGUUACUGCUGAUUGCCUUUGAUAUUUUAAACCAAUUUUGAUUCACCAAAUAAUCAAUCGAUUAAUUUAUUUGCUCUAAAUUCUCAUAACUUAUCCACUACAGAUUUCCAAUGCGGACUCAAGUAUGAAGUUUUUCUAGCCUCAUAUUUGCAUUCGUAAUUAUCACGUCACAUGUACAAGAGAAUGAUUUGAUAUACAAUUGAACAGAUAUUAAUGAAUCUAGAGUAGUUUCAAAUUAGUCAUCGACAUAAUUGAUGCUAAAAUAAUUUCUAAGAGACAAAUUUUAAUCUCAAAUCCCCCAAAAAAAAGAGUAGAUAAUUAAAAAAAAAAAAGCACAAACAAUUGCAAAAAGCUAUUUUUUAUAGUUUCACUUCAGUUCACAGCCUCCUCAUAUCGAGAAACAGCUUCUGAUCAAGCUCAAACUCUUGAAACAUAUUAUUUGUUACAUAUUUUUCAUGAACCAACUGGCCAACAUUGUUGAACUGUCGAUAUUUUUAUUGACUUCAAUUGACUAACAAGUUUCCUUCUUUUCUUGAAGGAUGGCUUUGACGGCGUUUCUUGAAGGAUGACUUGGACCUCUCGUUGAUUCGCGUCCUCGAUAUUGGUUCGUGACAUUCGAUCUCCCUGAUCUCGCCGCCUUCCGGAGAGAAGACGUUUGUCAAAGUUAUCGCAAUCGACGCUUGCCAUUGUCCUGGUAAGUCAUGGUUAAGCUAACAGUAACAAUAACGGCAUUGAUAACUGUUAGAACACUAAUAGUUUAUUUUAUUACUUGUUUUAAUUCAUUUCUUCUUAGCAUUAGGUUUUUUUUUUCAAUUAUAAAUUAAUGUUUUUAUUAAAUUAUAGUUAGGACUGUCUUAAACGAUUAUAAAUAAAUAGUUUUUAUUAUAUUUUUGAGGAAAUAAUAAUAAAAUUAAUUCUAAUUUCUGUUAAUUCUUUUCUCUUCCCUCUGAAUUCUUAAAUUCAUUAUUUAUUUCUCUUUUAACUCUCUAAUCAAAACCUUAGAAUCCUACCAUCUGGUAUUAGAGCACAUCCUUCCUGCCACAAUUUUUAUUUUUCCAUUCACUAUUUUUUUUUAAAAGUCAUCAACCAAACUUUUGCCAAUAUCUCUUGGCUUUUGACUGGAGACUUAAACCGGACCCACCCUCUAAACUUUUUCCAAUAUCUAAACUUUUUCAACCGAACUUGAAUUUUCUUGAGAGUUUUUUUGAGGCAUCAUGAUUGGUAAGGAGCUUGAAGGCAAAGUUCAACAGUUUCAUGACAAAGUUACAACCAUCGAUGAAAAGGUUACGACCUUAGCCAAGCAAAAUAACGAUCUGCAGGAACUCAUGAACGACAUCCUUCAGCAAUUGAGCCAGUUGCGAAAAGGAAAACAACCGACUACUGAUCAAAGACAAGUUGAUAUAUUUACUGGAGGGACCUCUGCUCCUCAAAUGGUAAUUGCUAUCCAACCACCUCUUGAACCUGCCGAACGCAUUGGAAGUACUCUCAUGCAAGCUCGUAACAUAUGACUUGACUUUCCUAUUUUUCACGGUGACAAUCGAACGGGAUGGAUUUUUCGAUAUGAGCAAUAUCGUUGCCUUACUGGAUUAUCAAAUGUUGACUUAUUGUGCUUAGCUAUUGGCCAUCUUGAUGGUGAUACUGUACCUUGGUUUCAUUGGAUAGAGCAAACUAUGGGCGAAAUGACUUGGGCGCAAUUUAAAUGGGCUUUCACUACUCAAUUUGGGACAUUAGAAGAGAAUGAUGCAGUUGGCAGUCUUACCAAAUUACAUCAAAUAGGGACAGUUCUUGACUAUCAACGACAAUUUCAAAAGUUGACCGAUCAGACUAGCAAUUUAACUGAGUCUUUCUUCAUCAGUUGUUUCCUUUAUGGGUUACAUGAAGAUAUCAAGGCUGGCGUACAACUGUUCAAACCUGUUAGUCUCGUACAAACUUUUGAACUUGCUAGGUUUAGUAAAAGACAAUUACUUUGCAAGGCAACUGUUCCCCCGUUCCCGCCAUCCAAGAUCUAGUCCCACAAUUACAGUUGACUCCUACUCCACCAGCAGCAGACAGAAAGACGUUCUAAAGGGCUUUGUUUCAACUGUGACGAGCAAUUUAAGCCUGGGCAUUGUUGCAAACAAUCUCAACUAAUGCUUUUAGACGUUGAUAUAACUCUUCACAACCCUCCAAAACCGCCUGACCAUCAUUCAGAUUGGAAGAUCUCGAUUAUUGAGACUAGGUAAAAGGCUUGCAGACAAGCCUGUUUUAAUGGGCAGGGAAUGUUAGGACCCUAAUAAUUUAUUUUAUUGCUUGUUUUAAUUUUUUUCCUAUUAAUAUUAGGUUUUCUUAUUUCAAUUAUGAAUUAAUGCUCUUAUUAAAUUAUAAUUAGGACCGUCUUGAACUACUAUAAAUAAGUGGUUCUUAUUAUAGUUUUGAGGGAGCAACAAUAAAAUUAAUUCUAAUCUCAUUUAAUUCUUCUCUCUUCCCUCCGAAUUCUUAAAUUCUUCAUCUAUUUCUCCCCUAAUUCUCUGACCAAAACCUCAUAAUCCUACUAGUAACGGACUGCAUUACGUUCGAGAAGACAAUUUACACACACACAAGAUAAUAAAGGCAUUUAAAUCACCCAAUUAAGUUGUAUAGCGAUAAAUAAUUAAAUUACAAAAAGCUCGACAUAUACUGAAAAAUAAAAAAGAAAUUCAACAAAGUCAUAAAUUUAUUGACAUCUGAAUUCUGAAAAUAUGGUGUGUGUCUUCAGUUGGGAAAGUUAUAAUUUGCAUACGGUUAUUUUUAUUGAUAUUUAAUACCUCUAUUUUAUGUUCAAUUGGAAGGAAUUCUAGGCAGUUCAAUUUUCUACUUACGGUAUUAUCACGAUCGUUGUUAUUGAGAAAAUUUUGGCAAUUUUUUUGAUUGAUCAUGAUGAUUUUAGUACGUGGCAGGCUCGGUGAUGUUGUUAUUUCGCGGAGCAUUUGGAUGCUUGCUCUAUACUGGUGAUUUUCGCUGGGAAGCAAGUAAUAAGAGGGCUGAGAUAGGAAGGAACACGCUCGUCAAAGCUUUAAAAGAUGAUGUAGUCGACAUUCUUUAUUUGGAUAACACAUAUUGCAGUCCAUCAUAUGCUUUUGCUUCAGGAGAAGUUGCAGCUCAGCAGGUACACUUUUUAUAUUUUUCCUUUCUUGUUUGAGAACUUUCAGUUUCACUCCAGAAUUAUCUACUGAAUUAAAGAUUAAAAUGGGAGAUGAAAGAAAUAGUCCAGGUACUGAUUUGUAGUGUUAGUUAUCUGGAUGAAAACAGAUUGUUGACAUAAUUGCCUCCCAUCCAGAUCAUGACAUCAUCAUUGGGAUUGACUCACUUGGAAAAGAAAAACUUUUAUUUCACAUAUCGCAUAAGCUCAAUAUAAAGGUUUGCUCACCCUUUUAAUAUCGGAAAACCUUUUCUUACAUAACGAUCAUCACGAUGGUCUCUCCAAGGGGGAUGAAAUCGAUAGCAUAUAUACAGCAAAUUGACAUGUUAUCUAAUUUUUGGAUCACUUGUAGAUGAUUUAGGAGUAUCUUGAUAGUUUUUAUUCUUCUAACAUCUAACAUAUGUUUUACAUUUUAGAAACUGGGCGGGUUAGAUUGUCCUUUGGUGGAUUUAAUUGUGGCCAAAUUCAUACAUGAAAUGUAUUGUCACACAUGUAUUAUUGGAUGCAUCCAAUUGUAUGUUCUUCCUCUUCAUGUGCCAUGAGAACUUAAAACUGCCCUCUUCAUCUCUUGCAAAUUGUUGUUUAGUCACAAGCAAGUGGAAUAAAAAUUUUUGCAUUUAUUUCCAAAGCAGAUAUUUACUCUGUAUUUCUUGUUUCACAUUUUUUUUAUAGAUUUGGGUGUGGCCAGAACGCCUGCAAACCAUGCAUCUGCUUGGCUUCCAUGACAUAUUCACAACCAAAACUUCUCUUACUAGAGUGCGAGUUGUUCCACGGUAUAGUUUUAGCAUUGAUACUUUAGAGAGUUUAAAUACAAUGCACCCAACGAUUGGAAUUAUGCCAUCUGGUCUUCCUUGGGUGGUUAAGUCUCUUAAAGGAGGUAGUAGUCUUCCUGGUUUUCUUUUUCCUUCUUACCAAAGCAAAUGGAGAGCAACGGGUGGAACUCACACUGAGAAACUGAAAGAAGCUUUAGGCGGGCCCGACGAGGUGCGAAGCUUGCUCGAAGUGAGAGUUCUGAUUGAUUAGGGUCAAAUAUCGAUAUCAGUUAAGCUUGAAAUUCUUGCAAGUAAUGUUACUUGUAUCGGUUUGAAUUCAGAGUCUAUUGUAUGGUUGAAGAAUACAUAUGAUGGUGUAGGGUGUAAGUAAUAUAAUCCUUUUAUUUAUUUAUUUAUCUUGGAUGUCUAAAGCGACGGCCUAUUAGUGCUCAUUAAGGAAAAUGGUUGUGUGAAAGCACUUCGUCUGGAUCAGUCAUUUGACUGUUUACGCCUGGAUCAGUCAUUUGAUUGUUUACGCGGGAUAGGUAUAGUGGCUUUUUGGUUUAGAUUAUUAUAGUUGUUUUCAAACUCGUGGCCUUUAAACACAUUAUAGUUUGACAAUCAUGGUCUUUACUUGAUUUGCAAUAAGGUAAAGAAGUCAAAUGGGUAAUUAUUUUCUGUGAGAGUGAAUUGCGGCAAACAUGAGCAAUUUUUGCAUCAUUGUGCAUUUUGUUGUAGAAUGAGGAGAGUCAACUUUCCUGACCAUCUAGAUGAACCCUUAGUUGAAUCUCUCCAUGGCCAUAAGUGGGCGGCAUAGACCAAAUCCUGAAACUAGUCAUGGUCUAAUAUGCAAACCACUCUGACUAUGGCCAAGACACUGGAAAAUGGUGAAUGUUAACUUAGUUUUGAAAGUUAUCAAAUUUAAUAAAACAAAUCAAAUUUAUAAAGUUUUAAAAGUUAUCAAAAUUUAAUAAAACAAAUCAAAUUUAUAAAGUUUUAAAAGUUAUCAAAAUUUAAUAAAACAAAUCAAAUUUAUAAAGUUUUAAAAGUUAUCAAAAUUUAAUAAAACAAAUCAAAUUUAUAAAGUUUUAAAAGUUAUCAAAAUUUAAUAAAACAAAUCAAAUUUAUAAAGUUUUAAAAGUUAUCAAAAUUUAAUAAAACAAAUCAAAUUUAUAAAGUUUUGAAAGUUAUCAAAAUUUAAUAAAAAAAAUCAAAUUUAUAAUUAGGGGUCCAGCUACGGUGCCCCUUUGGGCACGGUGUCCCCUUCUUUUGUCAUUAUCCAGGCUAGCCGUUAGAUUAUAAUGACUUUAAUCCAACGUUUCGGAUUUUGAAACUGUACAAUGAUGUGAAGUGGGCAACUGUCCAAUCCCGAUAUACUAAUACUAUUGUAGCUCUAAAUAAGAAGUAAUAAGAUUAUUAACACUAUAAGGUUAAUGGAAGGAAAAUCUAUCUAAGCCUGAAAUGAUACAAACUACAUAUGUUCGAAUUUAUGGUAGCUGAAAAAUCUUUCAUGAUUUGUUCUACUCCUUGAUCACAUAAGUGGGUUGAAUUAAUUUAUAUAUUUGAAAUUAGGUGGUUGAAUAACGAUGGCAUGACCAUAUGGAUUCAAUUUCUUGAUGGACCAAUAACCUUGUUUCGACUGAAAUCAAUACGUGCAAGUAGUCAAUUUGACAGUUGACAUAAACUGUGCUUUUGAAUUGCAAUGGAACAUAAAUGAACAAGCUUUCAUCUAGCUUUACAGAGUGUGAACUAAAUGGUGUAGCAAAUAUAAAUGAAAGAAGAAGGAGCCCGAGGGGUGGAGGCGUUAAGAACUUAAAUAGCAGGUUUUAUUCUGUCGAAAUACUACAAGCACAUUUGUAAUAUUCAAAAGAUGCUGCAACUGUAGUUCUUAGUAUUUCGAGUCAGAAAACUAAGCUUCAAUAUCAUGACAUAACAAAAUAUACAAUAAAAAUUGCACGGACAUAAUAAUUGUCAUAUUUCCAUAACAACGUUACCAAGUCCGUAAAAGCUAGGAAUAACAAAACACAUAAAAAUAGUUUCAUAUUAGAGAAUAUCUGAAUUUACAGAGCAUAGAUUAUGUCUAAAUUUCCUGGUUGGUUGAGUUUCUUCGAUGAUCUUGUUCGAAAGCUAAUACCAUUCGUUUCUAAAAUGUACCUCACAGUAUCAAUCAUCUCAAUUAAACUGCCACAAAGUUUCCUCUUUAGCCUACCACAGUUGUAGCAAACUACCAAAACCCAUUUGACAAGCAGCCACUCUUUGUUCAUCUAUCAGCUACGAAACUGCUGCCGCUAAUCUAUCUGGGGCGAAUCUAGUCAAGAACUUUGCCUUUGCCACUUCUGACUUCACUAUUUGUUCGCAUUCAAUUUGUAUUAACAUUUUCUCUCCGGUGGUAAAUCCUUAAACGUGGAUCCAAUUUCCAUCUAGUACACAAUCAUGGCAGAUAAACUAACUACAUCUCCACUAAUUGAAAAUACAAAUUUAUUUUAUCUUUAUAGUGCAACUUUACAUACCUCUUCUGUAAUGCAAGUCAUUCCAUCGCUUGCCUUAACCUCAUGCACGGCUUCACUGCUGCAAUAUCAUCAUAUGACUGCAAAAUUAUACAUCUCUAUAAUUUUUAAUGAACUAAGCUUACAAAUAUCUUAUGAACCCAUUAUGGCAUUUCCUUUUUCUUCUUCCUUCAAUACUUUGAUCGUCACCAACCUCUUUAACACCGCCAUCAAUCUCACACGAUUUAUGCUUAUUACUUCCCACCAACUUAAUUUAUGAAAUUCAGUGAUACAUUUAUUUAUUAUAAUCAAACUAAAGUUCAUAGCAACAUAAAGUUUACAUUCCUAGUCCAGCACAAAACAAACAAAAAAAUUGGGGAAAAAAAUAAACAAAGGAGAUCUGGAACGAAGGUAAAGCAUGUAUCAUUUUCCUGUUCCUAAUUUUAAAAAUGUUCAUUGUAAAACUUAAUAACACCCAAGCUAACUGGAACUAAUUGUUACGGAUUCAAAUAUCAUUUUAAUACAUGGAAUUACUAAGAUGAAUAUUAUGACAAAAAAAUCCUUUACAUUAUUACAUUGUUGAGAAAAUAUCCAUAACUUUAUUUUAAAAUAUUUGUGCACCCCAAUUUUGCCAUUAUCCUUAUGAGAUCUAGCUUCCCACCAACCAUAUUAUGAACAACAAAUGAUUCACAUCACAAAUCUCAUAUUAAAAUUACACUUACCUUAAAUUUGGUAUAUGCAAUCCUUUCUGUUUCAUUCAAUACUGCUAUAACAAACUACAAGUCACUGCACUCCACUUCAAAAAUUUGACACGACAUCAUUGCUCCAAUUACAGUUAUACAGAAUUAAGAAAAUAUUCCUGCUUUAAAAAUUUCGCCAAUGUCUGUUGAAAUACAACCAAGGGUAUGUAGAGGGUCCAGCUACAAUAUCCAUGGGGUUUGGUACCCCAUUUUUUGUUUUUUUCAAACCUACCGUUAGAUUUAACGUAAGUGCAUAAUGGCUGAGAUGUGAUUAUUGAGUUAUUAACAUCAAAGACCCUUAUUGUUCAUGUAAAAUAAAAAAAAAUCAAAAGUUUUGAAAUUAUGACAUAUAAGUCAAUAAUAUUCUCUUUUUUUUUUAACUCUAUUGAAAUAUGUUUCCAAUUAAAUGACUUAUUCUUAUAUUUAUUAGUAUCUAUUUAAAUUAAUAAAUUUAUUAAUUAAUAAAUUAACUACUUUAUUAUAUAAUUAAACUAUGUAUAUUAUUUAUUAAGGGUUAUUUUUAGAGACCUCCCCUGAGGUUUGGUGUAUUGACAGUCUGAUAGAAAGUAUUCACGUAAUUACAGGGACCUCCCCUGACGGUACUACAUGGUUAACUUGACUGUUAGUGGACUAACGAAAAGCCAAAAAUGCCCUGAGCCUAAAAAAUGCUUUGGCAGUUAACAAUUUCUUUAAUGAUAGUAACUACAGUUUGGCGUUAAACAUCACACUAAAACACUAAAAAGUCUAAACUGACCAUUUAAAACAAAUCAUUGACAUUACAUAAUAUUAAAAAAAGGAGAAAAAUAUAAAUUGACAAAAUCAACAAAGCUAUCAAUGUAGUGAAUAUUUACAGCAACAAUGGUUGUAAAUACAGCCAUUGUCAAGUUAAAAUCACCAUUACAACCAUUGCUUCUUUAACUUUCAUCUCACAAUUUCUUCCUUCAUCAUUCAACAUCUCAAAAGCUCAAUAAUUAGUAAGCUGCUUCAAUAAAACAAUAAACAAACCAUAAUUCACUUUUCAAUGCAUUCAAAAUACACAACGAAUAUUCCUUAGCCAUUUAAAUUGAAGCCAAAGAAGAAAAGAAAAGAAAAAAAAUCUUCCUUUGUUAUUCCAAGUUUCACACCACUAGCCAUAUGAAGAAGGCAGACUAAAGCGUAAGAAAAUGCUACUGCCACAGCAAAAGUCUAGACCAAUUGGGUAAUGAUACCUGCCAUGCCAAUUUCAAGGCAAGCAAAAAUCAAUUAUCAUCCCCAGACCAAAAUACCAGCAAACCUACCUUUUGAAUUUAAAUAAUAAGUAAAUAAAUCAAAGAUUUCAACUCAUUUAAGUUUGAAAUCAAUUAAAAUAGCCAAAAAGAAAAAAAAAAUUCGUCCAACAUAACUUAUCCAGCAAUUUCUUCAACACAUAAUUUCAUUCUUAAUCAUCACAACAAUUAAAAAAGAAAAACAAUGAGCCCAAGUGAUUGAUCUUGCCAUAAUGUACUCCUACCAGCAACCGAAGUCGAGCAUACAUACGACGAUCUUCGUGCGUGAAUAGCCGGGAGGAAAGAAAGGGCGGUAGAUGAUAAUGAAAAAGAUGCGAUCGAGUUUGCUGUAGAAAUUUCUACUCUCCGAUUAGACCCAAAGCUUGUUCAAAAGGGUCUCCUUUUCCUCCGUUGAGAUCAAAUCCCUACCGACGAGCUGCCAACAACUAACAAGGGUCACUACGAAUAGCUAACAACUGCUUUGCUACUACUGGCUCACUCUGAACGAGAUUCCGAUCCCCUGUCUCGUGAGCAAAGCCUUCGAUUCCUUCACGUAGGCCGAGACGGAUUGGUUCAAAAGCUUCUCCAGAGCUUUUCAACCUUGAAAAUGGUUGUGGGUUUCGUUUAAUGAGAGAGAAAAUAGUGUUUUGGUUCUUUGAUUUUUUUUUUAAUUUAUGAAAUCACUAAUUUACCCUCAUAUACUAACAUAUACGAAAACGUGUACUAACGUUAGGGGAAGUCUCUGUAAUUACACAAAUACUUUCUAUCAGAUUGUCAAUACACUAAAACUCAAGGGAGAUCCUUAAAAAUAACUCUAUUUACUAACUAUAAUUAAUAAUAACAAUAAAUAUAAAUAUGAUCUUUUUUUAAUUUAAUAUAACGACAACUAAUUUCUUUUGACGUAUGUGAAUAAAGUUCAAAACCCAUAAUUUUUUUUUCCGCCAGACGGUGACCCUUGUGGGUCUAUCAACAAUUCAAAGAUUGCACAACUUGAUUGUCCGUUUCCAAUCACUCAUUUCUUUCUCUCUGGCCAACCAAACGCGUAAAACUGAUUAACGUUGUUGAUGGAGUUUUAAAUAUGAUCAAAUGGCUGUGAUUGUUUGUAGGCUUGGUCCUAUAAAGCUCAAUCGACCUACAAGCCAAUAAAAAAAAUUAAUUGAAAUUGCUAGCACUAGCCGCAACUGGGCCCCAUUCACAUUACGAGGUUCACCUCCUCUAGAACUUGUACAGGUGGACAUGGUUACAAACUAUUGCUUUUGUAGAAACAAUCCAAGUUGAUGUCUAGGGUGGAUAUUAAAAUCUUGCUGACGUGGCUGAAUCUGUUAUAUUGGUUUAAGAAUUACUACAUGCAUGUGUAACAGCUUAUUAACAAGGAAUUGACACUUGUUAUAUAUGUGUGUAAAAUACAUUGAUUCAAUAAUAAGAAGUUUUCAGUUUAUCAAUAUUUUCUUUCUCUUCCGUUUAACUUUCUCGUUUACCAAAUACAACAUUUGGUUUUCUUUCACAAAGUGUCGGAUUUUGGGCUGGCAAAGCUUGUUGGGAGGGAGUUCAGCCGUGUCCUAACAACCAUGAGAGGAACAAGAGGUUACCUUGCACCUGAAUGGAUAUCAGGAGUGGCCAUAACAGCCAAAGCGGAUGUCUACAGCUGCGGAAUGAUGCUGUUUGAAUUUGUAUCGGGAAGGAGGAACUCUGAGGAAUUUGAAGAUGGUAAAGUGAGGUUCUUCCCAUCUUGGGCUGCUAAACAAAUAGUUGAAGGCAGCAAUCUCAUUAGCCUAUUAGACCCAAGACUGGAGGGCAACGCAUAGGAAGAAGAGCUUGCAAGACUUUGCAAAGUGGCUUGUUGGUGCAUCCAAGAUGAUGAAACUCACAGGCCAUCAAUGGGUCAAGUAGGUCAAAUUCUUGAGGGAGUUUUGGACGUGACACUGCCUCCAAUUCCCAGAGCUCUCCAAGUAAUGGUCGAAUCAAAGAGCAACAAUUCAACUGCUUCAUCUCAAGCAAAGAGCACCACAUUAUCAAGAAGUUCUUAAAUCGAUGUGAAGAAAAUAUUUUAACAUUUGUGUUUAAGAAUAUAUAUUUGGUUUAUUUCACUUGUAACAACCUGUAUGCAUAUUUGGAUAGAAGCCUUGCUUCGUAGUGUGUAUAAUAAUAAUGGAACCUGCCAAAGCAAUUUUAAGAAUUACAAGCCUUGUGCCUCGCUGUUCUCUCUAAUGAACUCUGAUUGAUCUAUGCUCCUCUGCGUUGACUUUUGGCUUCACCUAAUCGCUUCAAUUGUCAAAAUUAGGUAUUGAAAUGAAAGCGAAAUGCCAAAAGCAACUUGGAACUUGGAUGUUAUCCAGAAGAAGGGGAAAAACAGCAGAAACAAUCAAACAUAAACGUGACGUUGUAAUAAAUAACAUCGGUCAAGAUAUGAAUCAACUGGCCAACAUUGUUGAAUUGUCCAUAUUUUGAUUGACUUCAAUUGACUAACAAGUUUCCUACUUUUUUUGAAGGAUGGCUUUGACGGCGAUUCUUGAAGGAUGGCUUUGACGGCUUACGUAGCACAAAUAAUUUAUGUUGGACGUUUAAAUAAUCCAUCAGAAAAAAAUUAUGGAAACCGAACUUCGUCCCUUUGCUUUCUUUAUUCCUAAAUAACAAUUUAGCACUCCUGAACUUCAUUGAACUUCAUCCUCCAUUUUUUUUGCUUUCUUUAUUCCUAAAUAACAAUUUAGCACUCCUGAACUUCAUCCUCCAUUUUUUUUAAUUUCUACUUGUCAUAAACUGAAACCUAAUAAAAUAAUUUUGGUUGAAACCAUCAUAUUUGACAGUAUGAGCACAACGACAGUGAUUACUAACUGUUUCUGCUUAGGCCCGCCAUACCCAACCCUCAAUUUCUCCCUUAAGUCUUGAUAAAUAGACCAUCUGCUGUUCAUAAACAUCAUCUUGUCUGCACAGAAAUUUUCCAGCAGCCAUGGAUGUCAAGAACAAGGUAUGGUUCAUGCUCUGUGUUCUCUCCGUAUGCUUCACUCUCAAACCUCAUUUAUCCUUUGCUGCUCGUGACUCCAUCUCUGCAAACCAAUCUCUCUCUGGGGAUCAAACUAUUGUCUCUGCUGGUGGGGUCUUUGAACUAGGCUUCUUCAAGCCAGGUAACUCUUCAAACUACUACAUAGGCAUUUGGUUCAAAAAGUUGUCAGAACAAACCAUAGUUUGGGUGGCAAAUAGAGACAAACCAGUUUCCGAUAAAAACUCCUCAGUGUUAAGAAUAUCCGAUGGUAAUUUAGUUCUUUUAAAUGAGUCUAAAACGCCCAUCUGGUCCACAAGUUUGAACUCUAGUAAUACAACAGCUUCAAUCGAAGCAGUUGUUCUAGAUGAAGGUAAUUUUGUUUUGAGAGAUUCUUCAGCUAAUUCAACCUUAUGGCAAAGCUUUGAUCAUCCGACUCAUACAUGGCUUCCCGGAAUGAAGUUUGGAAUAAACAAACGGGCAAAAGUAAACCAAUUUCUCAUCUCAUGGAAGAAUAAAGAGGAUCCUGCACCGGGUCUCUUUUCGCUUGAGCUAGCCCCAGAUGGAUCGGAUCAAUAUGUUAUAAUGUGGAAUAGGUCUGAACAAUACUGGAAUAGUGGAGUCUGGACUGGAAUAAAUUUUGCCAAUGUUCCGGAAAUGAUAUCUCAUCAUAAUUUCGACUUCAACUACAUUUCGGAUGAAAAUGGGAGAUAUUUCGUUUAUUCUGUUACUAAUUCUAUGACAACUCGUUUUGUUAUUGAUUCUUCAGGGCAGAUUGAGCAGAUGUUUUGGUUGGAGUCUAGCAAGGCUUGGUUUCAGUUCUGGUCGCAACCAAGGCAACCUUGUGAUGUUUAUGCUUAUUGUGGCGCAUUUGGCAGCUGUAAUGAGGGAAACCAGUCUUUCUGUGCUUGUCUGCCAGGUUUUAGGCCAAAAUGGGAGAACAAUUGGAACUUGAUGCAGGAUUAUUCUUCUGGCUGUGUGAGGAAAACCCAACUGCAGUGUGAAAAUACUGUUGUUACAAAUGGAAAGAGUGACAAGUUUUUAGCAAAUUCUCACAUGGUAUUGCCUAAACAUCCACAAUCUGUGGCAGUUUUUGUGGAAGCAUGAAAUGAUCUAGCUGAUAUAUAACUCAUCCCUGGUAUCUUCACCCCACCAUAUGGUUGAGAGCAUACCCAAGUUGGCUGUCCAUGAGAAGAAAAAUCAGAAUAAGAAUGCAGGCAGGAUGCACCAUGGGUAAAACCAUGCUGGCUACUGCAAGUUUUCUGCGCCAUAUAAGGAUUCUUGUAACAUUUCAAUUCAAAUGGCACCUCUAAAACUUCUUUCUUACAUAAACAAGACUUGUUAUGAGGCCUCAAGAAAUUAUGCCCCUGACAUUCCAGUCCUUUCUUGCUUCUGCAAUAAUUUUGAGGGUUAAAGGAUCCCUUUGUUUUCAAUUUCUGUUCUUCAUAUUCAUCCAAUUCACAAGUGGCUACUUGACUUCAUUGGGACACAUGUCGAUCAAGUCUCCUAUUUAAUCUCUGAUGAGCAACCCAUCGAGAGGACUCAACCAACACCUUCUCUGCUGUACCGUACAUCCGCCUUGGCCGUGCUUGUCUGCCAGGUUUUAGGCCAAAAUGGGAGAACAAUUGGAACUUGAUGCAGGAUUAUUCUUCUGGCUGUGUGAGGAAAACCCAACUGCAGUGUGAAAAUACUGUUGUUACAAAUGGAAAGAGUGACAAGUUUUUAGCAAAUUCUCACAUGGUAUUGCCUAAACAUCCACAAUCUGUGGCAGGAGGGAGUAUCAAGGAAUGUGAAAAAACCUGCUCGAGGAACUGCUCUUGCACUGCUUAUGCUUAUGAAGACAAUGCUUGUUCAAUAUGGAUUGGAAGUCUCUUGAGUCUGCAUCAACUUUCACCAGGCGACGCAAAUGGGAAAACUAUUCAUGUCAAGCUUGCAGCUUCGGAGUUUUCAAGUUCCAGUAAUAACAAGGGAACAGUCAUUGGUGCUGUCGUGGGUUCAGUGUCAUUUGUAGCUCUAUUAGGCCUUCUUGCUUUUAUGUAUUUCAGGAAGAGAGAGAAUACAAUGAAAACAAGCAAAUCAGUGGAGGAUGGUUCGUUGGUGGCAUUUGCAUACAAGGAUUUGCUAACAGCCACAAAGAAUUUCUCUGAAAAAUUGGGGGGAGGAGGUUUUGGUUCUGUUUUCAAAGGGAGGCUGCCUAAUUCAAGUGUCAUAGCUGUGAAGAAGCUGCAGAGCUUCAGCCAAGGAGAGAAACAAUUCAGAGCAGAAGUCAGCACAAUAGGGAACAUCCAACAUGUCAAUCUAGUUAGGCUUCGUGGAUUCUGCUCUGAAGGUACAAAAAAAUUAUUGGUCUAUGAUUACAUGCCAAAUGGAUCCCUAGAUUCGCACAUCUUCCAUAGAGAGAAUUCAAAGGUUCUUGAUUGGGAAACAAGAUACCAAAUUGCACUAGGGACAGCCAGAGGAUUGGCUUAUCUCCACGAGAAGUGCAGAGACUGCAUCAUACACUGCGACAUAAAGCCAGAGAACAUUCUAUUAGAUGUUCAAUGGUGUCCAAAAGUGGCAGAUUUUGGCAUGUCAAAGCUUGUUGGGAGAGAAUUCAGCAGAGUCCUAACGACCAUUAGAGGAACAAGAGGGUAUCUCGCACCAGAAUGGCUUUCAGGAGUGGCCAUAACAGCAAAAGCUGAUGUUUACAGCUAUGGAAUGAUGCUCUUUGAAAUUGUUUCAGGAAGGAGAAACUUUGAAUGGAACUCUGUAUACUCUGAAGAUGAAGAAAUGAAAUACUUCCCAACUUGGGCAGCAAGCCUAAUGAGUGAAGGUGGCAAUGUGCUUAGCCUUUUAGACAAAAGACUUGAGGGUAGUGCUGAUGUAGAAGAGCUUUCAAGGAUUUGCAAAGUUGCUUGUUGGUGUAUCCAAGAUGAUGAAACUCAUAGGCCAUCAAUUGGUCAAGUGGUUCAAAUACUUGAGGGGGUUUUGGAAGUGACUCAGUCUCCAAUUCCAAGAUCCCUUAAAGUAAUCGCAGAUAACAAGGAGGAUAUAAUCUUCUUCACCGAGUCAUCUGAGACUUCAGGUGCUUCAUCUCAAGCUAAGUUCGCUGGAUCAUCAGCAAGUUCCUAAAUCCUUACCAAGAUAAUCAAUUUUAUUUGAGUAGUAUUUGUUAUUUCUGUUUUUUGGAUUUGGGUGGUGUUUUGUUAUUUCUGUUUGACUAUAGUCUUGAAUUUAUUGCCCUUAUUUGAGUACUAUUAUCCUAGAUAGUCUACUAUACAUAUAUGGUAUUAAUCUAUAUUAUUUUCAUAUGGUUUGAACUUCGUAUGUCGUAGCAUAAUGUUUAUCAAAAUCUCGUGUCUGCAAGUUGUUUAUUUUCUAGCUGUUAAUAAUGUCCACUCGAAUGAUAACAAUUUAUCUACCUGUUAAUAUAUGAUUUUAAUAUAUGUUUAUAUGCAGAACACAACAUAACAGAACCAACCAUUUGAAAUUUCAUUUCAGUUGGACGAGUAAUCUAAAGUCGAAUUUCACUGUCAUCAAUGGUGAAACAAAGAGUCCAGUUCAUACUUCAGAGUCGUUGCAAAUUAAUUAAAAUGACUAGAAGAUUGGAAUGAUUAGCGAAAUAGACAAACUGAAUUGAUAAGAUAAACAAAUAGAUAGAAUAAAACUAAAACUAUGUACUGAAAACAUCCGAAUUUGUUGCAGUGUAUUGCAGCACCAAUUUCAUUUGGGCCAAGAAUGUACAAAGAAGCAAAAUCUUGACGAGUUAUGUUCGAUAAAGUUCAAUGCAGUUAAAUGAAAAAACUGAAACUAACCCCUCUGUAUAUUCCAGUUUCUAUUCUGUUUCCAAUGCACCGCAAAAACUUAUACGCAGUAAUGAGACUGCAGUAGCACAUUACAAAAUGAUACAUCUGCAUGUCCCCUAUAAUAUCUGUUCAUGCUAAGUAACCCAAAUCUGCAAUGGUAAUUGGUUGAAGAAAAGAGGGUACUAAUCGUAUUAUAAUACUGAAUAUGGUCAGCUUAGUAUUAUUUAUGGGAACUGAAAAACUCAUAGUCUUUGUGUCGAUUGACUACCUUGAUGCCAUCCGUCCAAACACAACCUCUAGCAAAAAGAGACGCAUUUUCCUCUAGUAUUCUGAGCUGUUCCCGAAGAAUUUCAGAACGGUCAAAAAGUGAAGAGUCUUUGAAAGAGGAUUCUUCAGGUACUUUGAGAUCAAACCAGCUUUCUGCCUGCAGGUAUAAAGCUUGUGAAGUGCUGUACCACAGCUCUGAUCAAUAUCCAGAGAAGAAUUAUAGCUUAUCUCAAAAUGAGUGAAAUUAUUAAAAUAUAUAUAUGUAUAGCUCAUUUCUAUAAUCCAUUGGGUUCAUAGUCUUAGAUAUCCUGAUAAGAAUUCCAACCCACUGCUUCUACAUAUACCCAGACAUUGAACACAAUUUGGUUUAUUUAUUUCUUAACAACAUCAUGGUCGUGAUUCAAAGUUCAAAACAUGAAUUUCAAGGAUUAUGAUAUCUAUGUGGCACGUGUGUCAAGUUUAGUAAAACUUAAAUCUCCAUGGGAAUUCGAUGAAAAUCGACAAGCUCCUUCUUAGUCAUAGGUCCGGGCGGCAAAGCUUAUUCAGUUUUGACUUUGGAUACCUGACUGCCUGAACAAUUGAUUAAGGACGAACCUAUACUAUGCACGUCGGAUAGUAGCAGCAGAACCACUCAAAAUAGGCAGAAGAUUGCAAUCUAAACCAAUAUAUGACAAGGGUAGAACAUAUAGAGCUUAAACUUUACCUGUGCCUUGUAGCUUAGCAAUCCCACUACAGGGGAGACAACACAGAGUGUUUUCUUUUUGAGGGUAUCAGUUGGCACAUCUCUCAUAACCAUAUGUCCUAGCGAAUGAUAAGUCAAGAAAGCUGCACCAAAUUUCCCUUCGGGAAUUCGAAAUAUAGGAUACCAAGCCACUGAAAACCUAAAACCAAUUUAUUCAGGUUGUAAUAAGAAUGUCACAGAUUGGUUCCCCCCACCCCAAAAAAUAAGUAAAUAAAUGAAAGCACCAUGUGGUGACUGAUUCUCACCAGGAUGCAAGAUGUAGAUCAUUCAGCUUCAAAGAUUUCAACUUUGAUAUGUCACCAAAUACUUGAAGAUAAGAAGCUUCAGCAUCAAAAAGAUCCAGAAUUCUGCAAUUAGUAAUUAGUUAAGAUCAAUCCAGAUACAUCUUAACACCCCAUUUCAAAUAAAAAUGAUGAGGGUUUCAAUGAAUUGUAAACAGAAUGAGAAGAAAGAGUUCAACGAAAAAAAGCCUACAUGAUUAGCGGUGAUUGGAAAUGGAUAACUAUGAGUGAGUACGAAUUAAGAUAACAAGAUAAAAAGAAGACACAACUACAGCAGUGAGGACAAAACAUGUCAAACCUUCAACUAGGGCAAUGGUUGGGCACACCACACAAGAAAAGCUGAAACGGAACUACAAAUCAACCUUGUAGAAUCAUCAUUUUCAUGUACGACUUUUAUGAAUUCUGUAAAUAUGGCAAUGUAAGUUUUGAGGUAAGAAAGCAGAACUCUCAAUGCACAUGGUACAAUAACCUACAGCAAUAUCUUAAAUACUCCAAGAUGCAAUUUCUUCAAGUUAAUGAAUAAACUACAGAUUAAAUACCAUGUGAGAGAAAUAUGUCAGACUCAAGUUUAGAAAAAUAGUUCUAAUAGCAUCCACUAUAAAUAAUUGAUUGUAUAUCAACCUAGCAAUUUGAUUUAGCUACGGCCUGAUGAUUAUAAUUUUCAAUACAGCAAGCGAAAGAUAAAGGCUAGUGGCGAAAUUUACUUAUUAUGAAGAGGCCUUCGCAGCCAAGGUUUCUCAGUUUCAAAAAAUUCAAAUAAAAGUUCACAAUUACUGGAGCGAUCAGGUGAUGGAGUGAAACUCUGGGAGUGGCCUUCAGGACAGAAAGCUUUAUAUGAAUUGACACUCUCUUCAAUCGAGCCAAAUUUCAGCUCUGGGGCCAAAAGAUUUUUUCCCUCUAAUGCUGUUGAGCUAUUUCUGAUAUACAUGUCAGAGUUGGAGCGCUCUUCACUUGUACCACAAGAAUUAGAUAGAUAUGUGUAGCCAAACAAUUGAACAGCUGAAAGACAAGGAACAAAAUGAGCAUCAAACGAUGCUGAUUCAGUAAGCCGCCCUUUUAGUUUCUGAGAAUGACUUUUAGUCCAUAAUUCCCUGGCUCCUCGUACCAGUUCCAAACAGAAAAAAGUGAUGUAUUAGGUAUCUGGUGCUUACACAAGGAGCUAUCAGACAACUGAUCACCCAAACACAAAGAACAUUUUCCGUGUUGAUAUAAUGAGGCAAUAGCAGGAGCAGCGGAGUGGAGGAAUCUUUCGAACUCCGCAAGUGGACAUCCUGUUUCUAGCUCAAAACCCUCAGAUACUAGUUGCAUUUUGUAAGCAGCAUUUAGGGGAUCUGUUACCAUUAAGCCAACGAUAAGCUGUUGAACAUCUUUCAAAUUUUGCACAUAUUUCAUUCUAAUUUCAGCACUCUUGAUGUGAUGGACUUCUGUUGUGGUACACUGACUGUCAGAAUUUGGAGCUUCAGUUUCAACUAGAUUCAAACUGCUGCUACCAAUUAAGUGUGUACUUUUAAAUUUGCUUAACAUGGCAGAUGCACGAUGAUCAAUUACAUUUCCCCCCGAACGGCCAUCCUUCUCUACUUCAUGUAAAAGUCGCAAGUCGCCAUUACAAACAUGACAGAUACCGGCAGAACCAGUUUUUUCUGAAAUACUUGACCCCUUAGUGCCGACAGCAACCCACUUCUUUGCAUUCAUUCUAGAAGUAACAUCUUUUAUGAAUUGGUUUUCAUUAAAUUGUUCAAAUUUUACGCAUGAUUCACUUUUUGUGGAAGCAUGAAAUGAUCUAGCUGAUACGUAACUCAUCCCUGGUAUCUUCACCCCACCGUAUGGUUGAGAGCAUACCCAAGUUGGCUGUCCAUGAGAAGAAAAAUCAGAAUAAGAAUGCAGGCAGGAUGCACCAUGGGUAAAACCAUGCUGGCUACUGCAAGUUUUCUGCGCCAUAUAAGGAUUCUUGUAACAUUUCAAUUCAAAUGGCACCUCUAAAACUUCUUUCUUACAUAAACAAGACUUGUUAUGAGGCCUCAAGAAAUUAUGCCCCUGACAUUCCAGUCCUUUCUUGCUUCUGCAAUAAUUUUGAGGGUUAAAGGAUCCCUUUGUUUUCAAUUUCUGUUCUUCAUAUUCAUCCAAUUCACAAGUGGCUACUUGACUUCAUUGGGACACAUGUCGAUCAAGUCUCCUAUUUAAUCUCUGAUGAGCAACCCAUCGAGAGGACUCAACCAACACCUUCUGGUGGAUUCUCACAUCUGUUUUUGUCUUGUUAUUUCCUGCAUUUGCUACACCAAUGUGCCUAGAAGAUUCAAUUGUUGGAGUGGGCAGCAAUCCUUUACCAAAAAAUGAGUUGUGCUCGACAAAAAGGUUCUUCUGAAGCAUACUUGCAUCUCCCUGUAGAUAAUUGCGUUGCAAUUUGUUACCCUCACUGGUUUGUGUUUCCCUUACAUUCCUCUGCUUCUUCCGCCAGACUGAUUGGCUAUUUUCCUUCCCUGUCAUGAUAUGUUGGUGAUUUCUAGUCUUAUGGACAGCAUCAAGUUCAGAUGCCAAGUUGUGGCUCUUAAAUCCAUUUCUUUCUCUGAUAGCAUGAGAACUGUUACAGACAUCACACCCUUGCUUAUUCAAUCCAGAUACAUCUUAACACCCCAUUUCAAAUAAAAAUGAUGAGGGUUUCAAUGAAUUGUAAACAGAAUGAGAAGAAAGAGUUCAACGAAAAAAAGCCUACAUGAUUAGCGGUGAUUGGAAAUGGAUAACUAUGAGUGAGUACGAAUUAAGAUAACAAGAUAAAAAGAAGACACAACUACAGCAGUGAGGACAAAACAUGUCAAACCUUCAACUAGGGCAAUGGUUGGGCACACCACACAAGAAAAGCUGAAACGGAACUACAAAUCAACCUUGUAGAAUCAUCAUUUUCAUGUACGACUUUUAUGAAUUCUGUAAAUAUGGCAAUGUAAGUUUUGAGGUAAGAAAGCAGAACUCUCAAUGCACAUGGUACAAUAACCUACAGCAAUAUCUUAAAUACUCCAAGAUGCAAUUUCUUCAAGUUAAUGAAUAAACUACAGAUUAAAUACCAUGUGAGAGAAAUAUGUCAGACUCAAGUUUAGAAAAAUAGUUCUAAUAGCAUCCACUAUAAAUAAUUGAUUGUAUAUCAACCUAGCAAUUUGAUUUAGCUACGGCCUGAUGAUUAUAAUUUUCAAUACAGCAAGCGAAAGAUAAAGGCUAGUGGCGAAAUUUACUUAUUAUGAAGAGGCCUUCGCAGCCAAGGUUUCUCAGUUUCAAAAAAUUCAAAUAAAAGUUCACAAUUACUGGAGCGAUCAGGUGAUGGAGUGAAACUCUGGGAGUGGCCUUCAGGACAGAAAGCUUUAUAUGAAUUGACACUCUCUUCAAUCGAGCCAAAUUUCAGCUCUGGGGCCAAAAGAUUUUUUCCCUCUAAUGCUGUUGAGCUAUUUCUGAUAUACAUGUCAGAGUUGGAGCGCUCUUCACUUGUACCACAAGAAUUAGAUAGAUAUGUGUAGCCAAACAAUUGAACAGCUGAAAGACAAGGAACAAAAUGAGCAUCAAACGAUGCUGAUUCAGUAAGCCGCCCUUUUAGUUUCUGAGAAUGACUUUUAGUCCAUAAUUCCCUGGCUCCUCGUACCAGUUCCAAACAGAAAAAAGUGAUGUAUUAGGUAUCUGGUGCUUACACAAGGAGCUAUCAGACAACUGAUCACCCAAACACAAAGAACAUUUUCCGUGUUGAUAUAAUGAGGCAAUAGCAGGAGCAGCGGAGUGGAGGAAUCUUUCGAACUCCGCAAGUGGACAUCCUGUUUCUAGCUCAAAACCCUCAGAUACUAGUUGCAUUUUGUAAGCAGCAUUUAGGGGAUCUGUUACCAUUAAGCCAACGAUAAGCUGUUGAACAUCUUUCAAAUUUUGCACAUAUUUCAUUCUAAUUUCAGCACUCUUGAUGUGAUGGACUUCUGUUGUGGUACACUGACUGUCAGAAUUUGGAGCUUCAGUUUCAACUAGAUUCAAACUGCUGCUACCAAUUAAGUGUGUACUUUUAAAUUUGCUUAACAUGGCAGAUGCACGAUGAUCAAUUACAUUUCCCCCCAAAUGGCCAUCCUUCUCUACUUCAUGUAAAAGUGGCAAGUCGCCAUUACGAACAUGACAGAUACCAGCAGAACCAGUUUUUUCUGAAAUACUUGACCCCUUAGUGCCAACAGCAACCCGCUUCUUUGCAUUCAUUCUAGAAGUAACAUCUUUUAUGAAUUGGUUUUCAUUAAAUUGUUCAAAUUUUACGCAUGAUUCACUUUUUGUGGAAGCAUGAAAUGAUCUAGCUGAUACGUAACUCAUCCCUGGUAUCUUCACCCCACCGUAUGGUUGAGAGCAUACCCAAGUUGGCUGUCCAUGAGAAGAAAAAUCAGAAUAAGAAUGCAGGCAGGAUGCACCAUGGGUAAAACCAUGCUGGCUACUGCAAGUUUUCUGCGCCAUAUAAGGAUUCUUGUAACAUUUCAAUUCAAAUGGCACCUCUAAAACUUCUUUCUUACAUAAACAAGACUUGUUAUGAGGCCUCAAGAAAUUAUGCCCCUGACAUUCCAGUCCUUUCUUGCUUCUGCAAUAAUUUUGAGGGUUAAAGGAUCCCUUUGUUUUCAAUUUCUGUUCUUCAUAUUCAUCCAAUUCACAAGUGGCUACUUGACUUCAUUGGGACACAUGUCGAUCAAGUCUCCUAUUUAAUCUCUGAUGAGCAACCCAUCGAGAGGACUCAACCAACACCUUCUGGUGGAUUCUCACAUCUGUUUUUGUCUUGUUAUUUCCUGCAUUUGCUACACCAAUGUGCCUAGAAGAUUCAAUUGUUGGAGUGGGCAGCAAUCCUUUACCAAAAAAUGAGUUGUGCUCGACAAAAAGGUUCUUCUGAAGCAUACUUGCAUCUCCCUGUAGAUAAUUGCGUUGCAAUUUGUUACCCUCACUGGUUUGUGUUUCCCUUACAUUCCUCUGCUUCUUCCGCCAGACUGAUUGGCUAUUUUCCUUCCCUGUCAUGAUAUGUUGGUGAUUUCUAGUCUUAUGGACAGCAUCAAGUUCAGAUGCCAAGUUGUGGCUCUUAAAUCCAUUUCUUUCUCUGAUAGCAUGAGAACUGUUACAGACAUCACACCCUUGCUUAUUCUCAUCUGGAACUUUACAGCAAGUUCUACUAUUGCAGUUUUGAAUAUUCAGAUCUUCAGAACACAGUUUCACUUGUAUUUCACAUAGAGAAGUUGAAUUGACCAGUGGGGUAUCUUUUUCCAAGCCCUUUUCACAGUUUAUAGCAGGAUUGAGUAUAUCCUCCAUAAUUGAUGAAGAAGAUGACUUUGCAUCAAUAACAUCAUAUUUACUUUCUCCUGCCAUAGAAACAAUCUUAUCGGAGAUCUUUUUACUUGAAUAAGUUCUCUUUUGUUGUUCUUCUUUUUCUUUCUAAAAUGUUUCUUGAACUUCGGAUCAUCAGUAAUUGAAUCCACUUUGCUGUUUACCUGCUUAUCACUAAAACCAAGAGUAUCUGAUUGGAAAGAUCCAGCACAUCUUGACUUCUCAUUACACACAACAUCUGGUACAGCUAGAUCUCCGUACGGCUUCAAAGCCUCAGAGAUCCAGAUGUCACCAAGAACUGCACAACCUAAAGAGCUUGACGAACUACAGAUACCAUUUCCCCGUUCUAUAUGUUGAACUAAUGCCCCUGAAACUUCCAUCUCUAGAACAUUUAUCAAUUUAAAGAUUUUCAGUCCUUAUCUAAAUCAACACCAGAAAACAAAGCCUGCAAUGGGAAAUGAACAAGUUAAAGAAAAGAGGCACGAUCAAGUUCAAAAUGAAAUCAAAUCCUACUAGAGACAGAUAACAUGUUAACAAUAAAGUCAACAGAAUUUGAAUGAAACAAGAAUCCACUCCAGCCUGUCAAAUAUUAAAGCAACAGAAAAGCAAAGAACCAAAAGAGCAUCUCAUUUAUCAUAUGAACCAAAGAUUGGAUAAAGUUAGUAAAAAUAAUUGGAAUAAAAUGAUAUGAACAAGCACUCAAACCAAAUAUACUCAUAUGACCCUAAAAUUUGCAUUUUAGUUAAUAAGAUACUAAAAUGAAUUUAACUAACUACCUAACAGUACAAGCACACAUCUCAUGAAACAAACCAAUUUAUCAGGGCAUUUGCGUACAUACAAAAGUCCAAAUAUCUCUUUAAAUCAAACCCACCUAAUUUUUACCAACAAAAGUUAUUUUUCUUGACCUAAUAUAACUCAAGGGUAAAACUAAAUAUGACCCCAAGAAAUAACCCAAACCAUGUAAUUUAUUCAAAUGCACGUUUUCAAGUACUUCUCAGACAGUUAUUUAAUUCAUCUGCUACCCAGAAAAAAAAAAUGAAAGUAGAAAAAAAGAACAAGAACAAGAAAAAGAAUGCCACUUUACCAAGUGCAGGUGAUGGGUUCUUGUGACUGCUCAAAGAACCCAGAAAAUAUAAUUAAAAGGAAAUAUCCAUGUUCCUUUAACCAAAUUAAGAAACAUACAAAGAAAACGACAAUUUUUGAAACAAGAAACGUGAAUAAUACUGAUCAAAUUAUGACACCCGUAUUGAAUUUAGAUCAAACAAAAAGAUUAAACAGAAAAAAAAAGGAAAAGAUAAAAGAAAAAGAAAGUACCUGAGAGACAAAAUGAGAAGCGCGCCAGAAGCCAAAAUAUGAAAAAUGGGUUUUUGGGGUUGACUUUUGAGUCUGUUUCAAUUUUUAUUUAACGGAUUUCUUGAAAUUGCUAGGAAAUAUUCUCUUUUUUAGAGUGUGGAGUAGGCAUAUCACAGUUGAUGAGGUCGAAUCUCUCUCUAUGGGCGCCAUGUGUCUAAUACGUAUGAUGAUAACACAAGCAAAAUACCAUAAUGGAUGGAUUAUGGGCAGCCCGCGGAAUUGUCUGUUUUACCCCGCUAUUGUAACCAUCCAGGAGGAUCCGUUUUAAUAUGUUUUUUUGCUACACUUUAAAUAUUCCAAUAAAUUAAUUAAUUCAUGUUUAUAAACAGUGUUAUGGAAAAUAAGGGAGAUGGUGAAUAAAUAAUAUUAUAAGUUUUUUAAAAAGUUACAUAAAUAAAAUUAAUAGUUUUUUAAAUAAAAAAUUAUUUCUAAAGAAACAUGAAUUACUGCCAAGUAGCAUGUGAAUAAACAUUUAAUUAUUCAAAAAAGAAUGAUUAUGUACUCUUUGAUGUAUGUUACGACGUUAAUUGGUGAGAAUGAAAUAUUGUACAAUAAAUUAUCUUAGAAAUUUAUUAAAGUAUACUAUGUACCAAUGAAUGUUAUUUUUUCCAAUGAAAAUUUUGGGAUGAUAAAUUGAUAAUAUUAGGGAUAGGACUAUUUGAGCUCUAAAAAUUAUUUUAAAUACUCUAUUAUUCUAUAGAUUUGUGUACUAUGAACUCUCGACUUUCUUCCAAUAGUUAGUAGUGUGAAAGUGGUGUAAUGAGGGAGUGAUGUGGUGUCUUAAUUACUCUCCCGUUUAGCUCUUUGUUAAUGUUUUUUAGGUCUGCUGUUUUAAAUUUGUGAAGUUUUUUAUAUUGUCGCUAUUUUCCAUUAUUGUUAUUGGUGGUCUAUAUGAUGGAUACGAUGGAAUUAGCGAAACUUUGUGGCUCUUUAACUUUGCGUGACAAAGCAAGUACGAUUUUGUCUCAGAUGCUGUCCAAAAGCGAAGGGAGGCAAUGGCAGUGAAUUACUUGAUUAGUAAGAUAUUAACGAAGCAGGUGAUUUCCAAAGAUGCCUUCACUAAGAAUUUUCCAGUGAUUUGAAGAACAUUCAGGGAGUUAAGAUCAAAUGUUUAGAGAAGAAUGUAUUCUUGUUCUGUUUUAGCUGACGAGUUCUUUUGUUGGCCCAUGGCAUUUUGAUAGGACAUUGGUUGUUCUCACUCCAUUGCAAGGUAAUGGUGAUUUGACUGUGGAAUGUUCUGACAAAGUGAUAUUUUGGGUGUAAAUUUAUAACGUGCCCUUAUUGUAUAUAUUAAAAGAGAUAACUGAACUUCAACUGAGUAUACAUGGAACGAUGGAGAAAAUAAAUAUGAGAUCAUCUGGUGAUUGUAUGAGAAAGUAUCUGAAAGUCUAUGUUACUUUUGAUAUUGUGUUACCUUUGAUAUUUCUUAUUCGUUAAAACGGAAUUUACGUGUGAAAUUCCAUUCAUUGGAUCUUAAAUGUGUGUUUGGUACAAUAUGAGAAGUAGUUAAAUUUUUAUUUUCACUGUGAUAGGAUAAGACAUAUAUUUCAUAAGUGUGAGGUGCAUGAGUUAGCAUGGGCAGAGGAUGGCUCCCACACCACUCUUCUGUUUGGGAAUUGGAUGAGAAUGACUGUUGGUGCUUUCGUCAAACGGCUAAAAAAUCCACUAAUGGUCAAGGCUAAUACAAAGAGUGGCAGUGAGGAGUUGAAUGCAUCGUUGAUGACACCAAAUAAGCCGGAUACAGUUAUUAAUGGUGUGAAAAUUUUGGAUGAAUUUCAAAAUGUGAGUGAUUUAAAUUUUGAAAGCGCUAAUGUUGCAGACAAGGGAGCUUUUCCUUAGCUUAUGAUCUUUGGUUUCUAUAUGGCUUCUUGGCUGCUUAACUUCUUUACGGCUUCUAGGCCGCUUGACCUCUUUACGGCUCCUAAGUGUUCGACUUCUUUAUGGUUUCUUGGUUGCUUUACUUCUUUAUGCUCUGCUUCCUUGAUGCCUCUAUGUUUCUUUUUCCCUUUCUUUUCCUUCUCGUCUGCGCCUCCAUUUCGUUCCUACAUAUUUUGACAGCACAGAAUUUUUGGUUGUUGCAGCGGCCAUGGAAAUCAUCAAGAACAAUUCAUGGUUGAUGCUUUUUGUUCUUUUCACGUGCUUCUCACUCAAAUCCCAUGUCUCCUUCGGAGCUGACACCAUUUCUGCAAACCAAUCUCUCUCUGGUGAUCAAACGAUCGUUUCUAAAGGUGGGGUCUUUGCAUUUGGUUUCUUCAACCCAGCUCCUGGUAAGUCUUCAAACUAUUACAUAGGCAUGUGGUACAAUAAAGUCUCUGAAAGAACUAUAGUUUGGGUAGCCAACAGAGAACAGCCAGUUUCUGAUAGAUUCUCUUCGGUUUUAAGAAUCUCAGAUGGUAACUUAAUUCUUUUUAAUGAGUCCCAACAACCCAUUUGGUCCACAAUUUUGACCGCUACCAGCAGACGUUCUGUGGUAGCAGUUCUUUUAGAUGAAGGAAAUCUUGUUUUGAGAGAUUUGUCAAAUAAUUUGUCGGAGCCGUUAUGGCGAAGUUUUGAUCAUCCAGCUCAUACUCGGAUUCCCGGUAUGAAGCUGACGUUCAACAAGAGAAACAACGUCAGUCAACUUCUCACUUCAUGGAAGAAUAAAGAAAAUUCUGCACCGGGUCUCUUCUCCCUUGAGCUAGCACCAGAUGCAUCAAAUCAAAAUGCUAUUUUGUGGAAUAGGUCUGAGCAGUACUGGAGAAGUGGACCUUGGGAUGAUAAUGCAAAAAUUUUCAGCUUGGUCCCUGAAAUGACACUAAAUUAUAUCUACAAUUUCAGCUAUGUGUCGAAUGAAAACGAGAGCUAUUUCACCAACAAUGUGAAAGAUAGCACUUACACAUCUCGAUUCAUUAUGGAUGUUUCAGGACAGGUUAAGCAGAUGAAUUGGUUGCCUACCAACUCUUGGUUUCUGUUUUGGUCCCAACCAAGACAGCAAUGCAAGGGUUAUGCUUUUUGUGGUCAAUUUAGCACCUGCAAUGAGCAAACUGAGCGUUUUUGUUCUUGUUUGAAAGGUUUUCAACAAAAAUCGGUGAGUGACUGGAAUUUGGAAGAUUAUUCUGGUGCCCGCUGCAGUGUGAAAAUAAUAGUCUUGCCAAUGGAAAAAGCGACCAAUUUUUCCAGUACAGUAACAUGAAAUUGCCUAAACAUCCACAAUCUGUGGCAGUAGGGGGUAUCAGGGAAUGUGAAACACACUGCUUGAAUAACUGCUCUUGCACUGCUUAUGCUUACAAAGACAACGCUUGCUCGAUUUGGGUAGGAAGUUUCGUGGGUCUGCAACAGCUACAAGGAGGUGGAGAUACCAUUUAUAUCAAGCUUGCAGCUUCUGAGUUCUCGAGUCCCAAGAAUAAACAGGGAGUAUUCAUUGGCAGUGUUGUGGGCACAGUGGCUGUCGUAGCUCUUAUUGGCCUGAUCAUGCUUGUAUACUUGAGAAGGAGAAAGACAGCAACUGUAACAACCAAAACUGUGGAGGGUUCUUUGGUGGCAUUUGCAUGCAAGGAUUUGCAAACUGCCACAAAGAAUUUCUCUGAAAAGCUGGAGGGAGGAGGUUUUGGUUCAGUUUUCAAAGGGGUGUUGCCGAAUUCAAGUCUCAUAGCUGUGAAGAAGCUUGAAAGCUGGAGCCAAGGAGAGAAGCAAUUUCGGACUGAAGUCAGUACCAUAGGGAAUAUCCAACAUGUCAAUCUGGUUCGGCUUCUGGGUUUCUGCUCUGAACUAGUAGGUUGUUGGUCUACGAUUUCAUGCCAAACGGUUCUUUAGACUCUCAUCUCUUCACUGAAAAAGAUUCAGACUUUCAUGAUUGGAAGACAAGAUACCAAAAUUCAAUGGGGACAGCCAGAGGUUUGGCUUAUCUCCAUGAGAAGUGCAGAGACUGCAUCAUACACUGUGACAUAAAGCCAGAGAACAUUCUGUUAGAUGCUGAAUUUUGUCCCAAAGUGUCGGAUUUUGGGCUCGCAAAGCUUGUUGGGAGGGAGUUCAGCCGUGUCCUAACAACCAUGAGAGGAACAAGAGGUUACCUUGCACCUGAAUGGAUUUCAGGAGUGGCCAUAACAGCCAAAGCGGAUGUCUACAGCUACGGAAUGUUGCUGUUUGAAUUUGUAUCAGGAAGGAGGAGCUCGGAGGAAUCUGAAGAUGGUAAAGUGAAGUUCUUCCCAUCUUGGGCUGCUAAACGAAUAGUUGAAGGCAGCAAUCUCGUUAGCCUCUUAGACCCAAGACUGGAGGGCAACGCUGACGAAGAAGAGCUUGCAAGACUUUGCAAAGUGGCUUGUUAGUGCAUCCAAGAUGAUGAGACUCACAGGCCAUCAAUGUGUCAAGUAGUUCAAAUUCUUGAGGGAGUUUUGGACGUGGCACUGCCUCCAAUUCCCAGAGCUCUCCAAGUAAUGAUCGACAACCAUGAGCACGUAGUCUUCUUCACUAUCUCAGAGUUUUUUUAAUCAAAGAGCAACAAUUCAACUGCUUCAUCUCAAGCAAAGAGCACCACAUCAUCAAGAAGUUCUUAAAUCGGUGUGAAGAAAAUAUUUUCACAUUUGUGUUUUAAGAAUAUGUAUUUGGCUAAUUUCACUUGUAACAACCUGUAUGCAUACUUGGAUAGAAGCCUUGCUUCGUAGUGUAUAAUAAUAAUGCAACCUGCCAAAGCAAUUUUAAGAAUCACAAGCCUUUUGCCUCGCUGUUCUCUCUAAUGAACUCUGAUUGAUCUAUGCUCCCCUGCAUUGACUAUUGGUUUCACCUAAUCGCUUCAAUUGUCAAAAUUAGGUAUUGAAAUGAAAGUUAUCCAGAAGAAGGGGAAAAACAGCGAAAUCAAUCAAACAAACAAACAAACUUAAACGCGACGUUGUAAUAAAUAACAUGGGUCAAGAUAUGAAUCAACUGGCCAACAUUGUUGAAUUGUCCGUAUUUUUAUCGACUUCAAUUGGCUAACAAGUUUCCUUCUUUUCUUGAAGGAUGGCUUUGACGGCUUACGUAACAAAUAAUUUACGUUAGACUUUUAAAUAGUCCAUCUGAAAAAAAUUUUGUGACACGGUUGACAGUAUAAGCACAACGACAGUGAUUACUAACUGUUUCUGCUUAGGCCCGCCACACCCACCUCCAAUUUCUCCCUUAUGUCUUUGAUAAAUAGACCAUCUGUUGUUCAUAAACAACAUCUUGUCUGCACAGAAGUUUUCCAGCAGCCAUGGAUGUCAAGAAAAAUGUAUGGUUCAUGCUCUGUGUUCUCUCCAUAUGCUUCACUCUCAAACAUCAUUUAUCCUCUGCUGCUCGUGACUCCAUCUCUGCAAACCAAUUUCUCUCUGGGGAUCAAACUAUUGUCUCUGCUGGUGGGGUCUUUGAACUAGGCUUCUUCAAGCCAGGUAACUCUUCAAACUACUACAUAGGCAUUUGGUACAAAAAGUUGUCAGAACAAACCAUAGUUUGGGUGGCAAAUAGAGACAAACCAGUUUCCGAUAAAAACUCCUCAGUGUUAAGAAUAUCCGAUGGUAAUUUAGUUCUUUUAAAUGAGUCUAAAACGCCCAUCUGGUCCACAAGUUUGAACGCUAGUAAUACAACAGCUUCAAUCGAAGCAGUUGUUCUAGAUGAAGGUAAUCUUGUUUUGAGAGAUUCUUCAGCUAAUUCAACCUUAUGGCAAAGUUUUGAUCAUCCGACUCAUACAUGGCUUCCCGGAAUGAAGUUUGGAAUAAACAAACGGGCAAAAGUAAACCAAUUUCUCAUCUCAUGGAAGAAUAAGGAGGAUCCUGCACCGGGUCUCUUUUCGCUUGAGCUAGCCCCAGAUGGAUCGGAUCAAUAUGUUAUAAUGUGGAAUAGGUCUGAACAAUACUGGAAUAGUGGAGUCUGGACUGGAAUAAAUUUUGCCAACGUUCCGGAAAUGAUAUCUCGUCAAUAUGUCGACUUCAACUACAUUUCGGAUGAAAAUGGGAGGUAUUUCGUUUAUUCUGUUACUAAUUCUAUGACAAUGCGCUUUGUUAUUGAUUCAUCAGGGCAGAUUGAGGUUAUGUUUUGGUUGGAGUCUAGCAAGGCUUGGUUUCAGUUCUGGUCGCAACCAAGGCAACCUUGUGAUGUUUAUGCUUAUUGUGGCGCAUUUGGCAGAUGUAAUGAGGGAAACCAGUCUUUCUGUGCUUGUCUGCCAGGUUUUAGGCCAAAAUGGGAGAACAAUUGGAACUUGAUGCAGGAUUAUUCUUCUGGCUGUGUGAGGAAAACCC
Molecule: long non-coding RNA, 40535 nt
Filed under: Citrus sinensis (sweet orange)
Lineage: Eukaryota; Viridiplantae; Streptophyta; Magnoliopsida; Sapindales; Rutaceae
Description: long non-coding RNA (CSIN_LNC000818)
Source: RNAcentral